This 309-nucleotide unclassified non-coding RNA is filed under the name Hevea brasiliensis (rubber tree). Lineage: Eukaryota; Viridiplantae; Streptophyta; Magnoliopsida; Malpighiales; Euphorbiaceae. The record is from RNAcentral.
CAAGAAUCCAAAGGGAAGUUUCUUACAAACUCCCCACAUUUCAGUUAGCUAGCUACUAUAAAUUAACUCAUAAUUACACCAUUUUCUUAAUUAAUUCCUCUAAAUUAAAGAAUAAUGGGUGUUGGAGGAACAUUAGAGUAUAUCUCAGAAAUGAUGAGUAUUGAAAAGCCAAAGAAGAAGAAGAAGCAGUUUAAUACAGUGGAACUUAAAGUUAGAAUGGAUUGUGAGGGCUGUGAAAUGAAAGUCAAAAAUACAUUAUCUUCCAUGAGUGGAGUGAAAUCAGUGGAGAUAAACAGGAAACAACAGAAG